GCCAGAAUGGCGUAGUAGUUUGAGUGUUGGAUUAUGAUUCCAGAGGCCCAGGUUCAAUUCCCAUUUCAUUCA
Non-coding RNA from Phrynosoma platyrhinos (Desert horned lizard), 72 nucleotides. The record is from the annotation of a GenBank genome assembly. NCBI's taxonomy places the organism in Eukaryota, Metazoa, Chordata, Lepidosauria, Squamata, Phrynosomatidae.